GACACACACACAGGUAAACUCCUCAGCGCUGUGUGAUGUCACACACCACCGCAACCAAUGAGACAGUGUCAGCACACAGAGGCAGCUCCGUGAAGACCUCUUCCUCUUGAGAGAGUUAUGAUUGAGGCUGCUACAAUGAAGCGAAAAGUAAAUGUCUGUGUAACAUCAAGAAGCCCGUAGUGAUGGGGGUGAUGAAGCUGGAGAGUGCUACUGUUCAUACUCCGUAUUGGCUGCUUUACGGUGGCCUUUAUCCCUACCAAGAUGACCACCAUCUGUAUGUCUAUGACCGCGCAGAGCCAUUGUGUUACUAUGUUGGAGCACCACAGUGGGACAUAGGCUUGUUCCACAUAGCUCAGGGAGAUCCUGUGUUUACCGUUAUCCAUCCUGCUACAGAACCGCUGGUACCACCUGCAUCCUGCACACAUACAGUCACUGGCUGGAGACCUGUAUGCUGUGCACAAGCUCCACUCCAUGCUGAAAGUCUGUGUAUGCAUAACUGUGAGUACAGCUGUACAAUUGACAUUACUGCUGAAUAAAGCACCCCACUGGCUAA
Pseudophryne corroboree (corroboree frog) is the source of this 553-nucleotide long non-coding RNA. RefSeq lists it as uncharacterized. Lineage: Eukaryota; Metazoa; Chordata; Amphibia; Anura; Myobatrachidae. The transcript is spliced from 2 exons. The record is from RefSeq and is a predicted model, not a curated record.